Molecule: transfer RNA, 76 nt
Filed under: Acinetobacter bereziniae
Lineage: Bacteria; Pseudomonadati; Pseudomonadota; Gammaproteobacteria; Moraxellales; Moraxellaceae
Description: tRNA-Glu
Rfam family: tRNA
About the family: Transfer RNA (tRNA) molecules are approximately 80 nucleotides in length. Their secondary structure includes four short double-helical elements and three loops (D, anti-codon, and T loops). Further hydrogen bonds mediate the characteristic L-shaped molecular structure. tRNAs have two regions of fundamental functional importance: the anti-codon, which is responsible for specific mRNA codon recognition, and the 3' end, to which the tRNAs corresponding amino acid is attached (by aminoacyl-tRNA synthetases). tRNAs cope with the degeneracy of the genetic code in two manners: having more than one tRNA (with a specific anti-codon) for a particular amino acid; and 'wobble' base-pairing, i.e. permitting non-standard base-pairing at the 3rd anti-codon position.
Source: RNAcentral
GACCCUAUCGUCUAGAAGCCUAGGACAUCGCCCUUUCACGGCGGUAACCGGGGUUCGAAUCCCCGUAGGGUCGCCA